CCCUUAGAUGUUCUGGGCCGCACGCGCGCUACACUGAUGCAUUCAACGAGUUUCUUCCUGGUCCGAGAGGAAUGGGUAACCUUUUGAAAGUGCAUCGUGAUAGGGAUAGACUAUUGCAAUUAUUGGUCUUCAACGAGGAAUUCCUAGUAGACGUAGUUCAUCAGACUGCAUCGAUUACGUCCCUGCCCUUUGUACACACCGCCCGUCGCUCCUACCGUUUGAAUGCUCAGGUGAGCCAUUCGGACUUUCAUCAUGCUGGUUUCCAGUUUUGAUGAAGGAAAGUCUUGCGAACCUUAUCAUUUAGAGGAAGGAGAAGUCGUAACA
Molecule: ribosomal RNA, 324 nt
Filed under: uncultured eukaryote
Lineage: Eukaryota
Description: partial 18S ribosomal RNA
Rfam family: Eukaryotic small subunit ribosomal RNA
Source: RNAcentral